CAAGUGGGAGGUGAGUGCACACAUACAUGUAGUGGGAAGUUAAACUCUUUUUGGUGUAUAAUUUAAUAAUUGGUACUUUCCAUUAUUUAGUUUCCUCCGCAAGUAUCAUUCUCGAUUAUACCUGAUUGAUCUACUUUGAAAUUUCAGAUUGUCAGGCAGUGGUUCCAACCUGUAGAGGCUUCAAGGUUAAGAAGUAAAAUCUAGAAGUUACUCAAGGAAGAAUUUCAAAAUGCAUCCAAGUCUAACUGCUCUAAAGAAUCCUCUCCUUUGAGUGAUGCUUCUGAUGACUGAAUUGACAAGUGGGAUCCUUUCUGAAUCUACACACAGUUGGUGCAUAUUGUCCAACCAGUCAAUCAAUUAAUCUGCCGUGAAAAUGAUCUUUUGAGUUUAGUAACUGGAAAAAUUAGUCUGAUUUCGAAUUUAUGAAAGACAGCUUUUUAAAAGAAGAAUGGUGCUAUCUGGAUCAAGAAGUUGAUAUUUCAGAUCUAACAGUUUCAGACUGUUGGAAAUGACUCCCUGACCAUAUUGAGGAGAAAAAACUUGUGAAUGGUGAAGAGGGUUGUCAGUUCAGAGGUAGAUAUCUCAAUGCACAUCAAUUACAACUGU
This 606-nucleotide long non-coding RNA is filed under the name Rosa chinensis. RNAcentral describes it as "sRNA RchiOBHm_Chr4g0408471". Lineage: Eukaryota; Viridiplantae; Streptophyta; Magnoliopsida; Rosales; Rosaceae. The record is from RNAcentral.